CCCCUAGUAACUGCGAGUGAAGCGGGAAGAGCUCAAAUUUAAAAUCUGGCAGUCUUCUGGCUGUCCGAGUUGUAAUCUGGAGAAGCGUUUUCCGUGUUGGACCGUGUACAAGUCUCCUGGAACGGAGCGUCAUAGAGGGUGAGAAUCCCGUCCAUGGCACGGACUACCAAUACUUUGUGAUACGCUCUCGAAGAGUCGAGUUGUUUGGGAAUGCAGCUCAAAAUGGGUGGUAAAUUCCAUCUAAAGCUAAAUACAGGCGAGAGACCGAUAGCAAACAAGUACCGUGAGGGAAAGAUGAAAAGCACUUUGGAAAGAGAGUUAAACAGUACGUGAAAUUGUUGAAAGGGAAACGCUUGAAGUCAGUCGCGUUGUGCAGAACUCAGCCUUGCCUCGGCUUGGUGUACUUUCUGCAGAACGGGUCAACAUCAAUUUUGACCCAUGGAAAAAGGUGUGGGGAAUGUAGCAUUGUUUCGGCAGUGUGUUAUAGCCUCUCUACUGUAUACAUGGGUUGGGAUUGAGGAACGCAGCACGCCCUUGUGGCCGGGGGUUCGCCUCACGUACUGUGCUUAGGAUGUUGGCAGAAUGGCUUUAAGCGACCCGUCUUGAAACACGGACCAAGGAGUCUAACAUGCUUGCGAGUGUUCGGGUGGAAAACCCUUGUGCGUAAUGAAAGUGAAAGUUGGGAACCUCCGCAAGGGGGAGCACCGACGCCCGGCCCUGACGUUCUCUGACGGUGCUGCGGUAGAGCAAGUAUGCUGGGACCCGAAAGAUGGUGAACUAUGCCUGAAUAGGGCGAAGCCAGAGGAAACUCUGGUGGAGGCUCGUAGCGAUUCUGACGUGCAAAUCGAUCGUCAAAUUUGGG
This 862-nucleotide ribosomal RNA is filed under the name Fomitiporia subhippophaeicola. RNAcentral describes it as "LSU rRNA". It matches the Rfam family "Eukaryotic large subunit ribosomal RNA", at positions 77 to 915 of the family's 3401-position model. Lineage: Eukaryota; Fungi; Basidiomycota; Agaricomycetes; Hymenochaetales; Hymenochaetaceae. The record is from RNAcentral.